UACGAGUGCCCCAAGCGUUAUCCGGAAUUAUUGGGCGUAAAGGGUGUGUAGGUUGUCUUGUUAGUCUUCUGUGAAAUUCUUCGGCUUAACCGGGGGUCCGCAGGGGAAACGGCAGGACUAGAGGAUGCGAGGGGUGUACGGAACUCAUGGUGUAGGGGUGAAAUCCGUUGAUAUCAUGGGGAACACCGAAAGCGAAGGCAGUACACUGGCGCACUCCUGACACUGAAACACGAAAGCGUGGGUAGCGAAUGGG
RNAcentral lists this ribosomal RNA (253 nucleotides) under uncultured bacterium. RNAcentral describes it as "partial 16S ribosomal RNA". It matches the Rfam family "Bacterial small subunit ribosomal RNA", at positions 524 to 776 of the family's 1533-position model. The record is from RNAcentral.